AGUGGAGCCAAUUCUGCUUUUCAGCUGUCUGGAUGCUAUAGGGAAGAGAGCCACCAGCUUUUAAAAGAAAACAAAGAAGACCGUGAUCCUCGACAAUGUGUACAAGAAUCUAGCCUGUUGCAACCAUCAGUCCACAAACUGGUAACCACUAACCAGCACAGUGAACGUUCAACGCGGGCCUUGCGUUCUCUAUUUCGUCUAACCCUUGCGAAAUUCUGUGUGAGAGCAGUCUACACUUCUAAAAGAGGCGGCAAGACAUUAAGGUGCAAGUAAUCACCGAGAACUACAAUCAACUGAUCAAGUUCACUCAGAAUUGUGCUAUUAUGAAGCUGCCAUCAAAAUGUAAUUAUAAAGGAAAAAUGUAAGUUAAAAGAACAAGUUAAAAUAGUAAAAAUUCUGUUACCUUCCUAAGCCUAAAA
Long non-coding RNA from Panthera uncia (snow leopard), 419 nucleotides. RefSeq lists it as uncharacterized. Lineage: Eukaryota; Metazoa; Chordata; Mammalia; Carnivora; Felidae. The transcript is spliced from 3 exons. The record is from RefSeq and is a predicted model, not a curated record.